UUUAGGAAGAAUACAAUAAUGUGGAAUUUAGUGUUACUAUGAUUUUUGCUAAUAAAUAAAAAUAUGAAUUUUUAGUUUUUACUGCUGUCAUUAAAAUUAAAGUGAUUUCGUUUGACUUUUUUUCUCAGUUGCCCAGUCAGAAAUAUGAGCAUUUAAAUGAAUUAUUUAUUGAGUAUAUUUACUUAUUAACUCGUUUGACACUCAGAUUUCUUGCAUACGUAGAAGGAAAACAGCAUUCGAUGACGAUGCAGUUCGAUUGGGAGGAGGUCAAAAAGAAAAACAAGAGGAAGAUGGUCGAGCAGGAAGGGUGAGGAAGGGAAGGAGGGAAAUCGAGUGGGGGUUGAUAGAUCGAAGGGAACAGGUGGAGCAAGGGGAGGGAGGUUGAUUUAGAUUUACCACCACACCAGGACUACGACGAGAUGUAAUAGAAACGUUGCCCUCCGAACUGAGGGUGGUGGUGGUGGUGGUGAUGGUGGUGGUUUGUUUCCUCGGCAAUGAGUUCAACGUUUAUUACGCAACCACAAUGAACGAUAGUACUCGUAUCCCCCUCCCCCUUCUUCCUCCACCCAACAUCUCCCCACCCUACAAAGGAUUCGCACAAUAUGGGAAUAUCGAGCUACCCCAAAGGAAGAAAUCGAGAGUGUAGAAAUAUACGCAUAUAGAAAAUGUCGCUUGGAUUAGCACAAAGAGGAUGAAAAAAGGGGUGAGAGAGAGGAGGGGAGGAGGUGGAAGAGAGAUGGGAUAAACAAACCCCGUUUUCCUUAAUUAAGAGAAGCGUACACGUCAAAGGGUGCAAGGAUGCAAGUAAAGUCCAAUCCAAAACUAUGAAAAAAAAAAAA
Molecule: long non-coding RNA, 839 nt
Organism: Polistes canadensis
Lineage: Eukaryota; Metazoa; Arthropoda; Insecta; Hymenoptera; Vespidae
Exons: 3
Source: RefSeq, a predicted model, not a curated record